GACGAACGCUGGCGGCGUGCUUAACACAUGCAAGUCGAACGGUAAGGCCCUUCGGGGUACACGAGUGGCGAACGGGAGAGUAACACGUGGGUGAUCUGCCCUGCACUUCGGGAUAAGCCUGGGAAACUGGGUCUAAUACCGGAUAGGACCACUGCCUGCAUGGGUGGUGGUGGAAAGCUUUUGCGGUGUGGGAUGGGCCCGCGGCCUAUCAGCUUGUUGGUGGGGUGAUGGCCUACCAAGGCGACGACGGGUAGCCGGCCUGAGAGGGUGACCGGCCACACUGGGACUGAGAUACGGCCCAGACUCCUUCGGGAGGCAGCAGUGGGGAAUAUUGCACAAUGGGCGCAAGCCUGAUGCAGCGACGCCGCGUGAGGGAUGACGGCCUUCGGGUUGUAAACCUCUUUCAGCACCGACGAAGCGCAAGUGACGGUAGGUGCAGAAGAAGGACCGGCCAACUACGUGCCAGCAGCCGCCGUAA
This 478-nucleotide ribosomal RNA is filed under the name uncultured bacterium. RNAcentral describes it as "partial 16S ribosomal RNA". It matches the Rfam family "Bacterial small subunit ribosomal RNA", at positions 28 to 523 of the family's 1533-position model. The record is from RNAcentral.